This 468-nucleotide ribosomal RNA is filed under the name uncultured bacterium. RNAcentral's name for it is "partial 16S ribosomal RNA". It matches the Rfam family "Bacterial small subunit ribosomal RNA", at positions 28 to 507 of the family's 1533-position model. The record is from RNAcentral.
GACGAACGCUGGCGGCGUGCUUAACACAUGCAAGUCGAACGGAAAGGCCCUGCUUUUGUGGGGUGCUCGAGUGGCGAACGGGUGAGUAACACGUGAGUAACCUGCCCUUGACUUUGGGAUAACUUCAGGAAGCUGGGGCUAAUACCGGAUAGGAGCUCCUGCUGCAUGGUGGGGGUUGGAAAGUUUCGGCGGUUGGGGAUGGACUCGCGGCUUAUCAGCUUGUUGGUGGGGUAGUGGCUUACCAAGGCUUUGACGGGUAGCCGGCCUGAGAGGGUGACCGGCCACAUUGGGACUGAGAUACGGCCCAGACUCCUACGGGAGGCAGCAGUGGGGAAUAUUGCACAAUGGGCGGAAGCCUGAUGCAGCAACGCCGCGUGCGGGAUGACGGCCUUCGGGUUGUAAACCGCUUUCGCCCGUGACGAAGCGUGAGUGACGGUAAUGGGUAAAGAAGCACCGGCUAACUACGUG